UACGAAGGGGGCUAGCGUUGUUCGGAAUUACUGGGCGUAAAGCGCACGUAGGCGGAUCGUUAAGUGAGGGGUGAAAUCCCAGGGCUCAACCCUGGAACUGCCUUUCAUACUGGCGAUCUUGAGUUCGAGAGAGGUGAGUGGAAUUCCGAGUGUAGAGGUGAAAUUCGUAGAUAUUAGGAAGAACAGCAGUGGCGAAGGUGGCUUACUGGUCCGGUACUGAUGUUGAGGUGCGUAAGCGUGGGGAGCAAACAGG
RNAcentral lists this ribosomal RNA (253 nucleotides) under uncultured bacterium. RNAcentral describes it as "partial 16S ribosomal RNA". It matches the Rfam family "Bacterial small subunit ribosomal RNA", at positions 524 to 776 of the family's 1533-position model. The record is from RNAcentral.